UUCGCAAUGCCCGAAAGGGUGACGAAGCGACGCCGCGUGGGUGAGGAAGGCCUUCGGGUUGUAAAGCCCUGUCAGGAGUUAAGAAAUGUAAGUGCGCUAAUAUCGCAUUUAUUUGACGAAGGCUCCAAAGGAAGUCACGGCUAACUCUGUGCCAGCAGCCGCGGUAAUACAGAGGUGGCAAGCGUUGUUCGGAAUAAUUGGGCGUAAAGAGCACGUAGGUGGGUUUGUAAGUCAGAUGUGAAAGCCUUCUGUUCAACGGAAGAAUUGCAUCUGAAACUGCGAGUCUUGAGUGUAGGAGGGGAGAAUGGAACUUCUGGUGGAGCGGUGAAAUGCGUAGAUAUCAGAAGGAACGCCGGCGGCGAAAGCGAUUCUCUGGCCUAUUACUGACACUCAGUGUGCGAAAGCUAGGGGAGCAAACGGGAUUAGAUACCCCGGUAGUCCUAGCCGUAAACGAUGGGCACUAAGUAGAGGGGUUUU
Molecule: ribosomal RNA, 477 nt
Filed under: Candidatus Scalindua brodae
Lineage: Bacteria; Pseudomonadati; Planctomycetota; Candidatus Brocadiia; Candidatus Brocadiales; Candidatus Scalinduaceae
Also listed under: 1 other name
Description: bacterial SSU rRNA
Rfam family: Bacterial small subunit ribosomal RNA
Source: RNAcentral